UGGGGAAUAUUGGACAAUGGGGGCAACCCUGAUCCAGCAAUGCCGCGUGUGUGAAGAAGGCCUUCGGGUUGUAAAGCACUUUAGGCGGGGAAGAAAUGUUACUGUUUAAGAGAUGGUAAUUUUGACGGUACCCGCAGAAUAAGCACCGGCUAACUCUGUGCCAGCAGCCGCGGUAAUACAGAGGGUGCAAGCGUUAAUCGGAAUUACUGGGCGUAAAGGGCGCGUAGGUGGUUUGUUAAGUGAGAUGUGAAAUCCCCGGGCUUAACCUGGGACGUGCGUCUUAAACUGAUAAGCUAGAGUGCAAUAGAGGGUAGUGGAAUUUCCGGUGUAGCGGUGAAAUGCGUAGAGAUCGGAAGGAACACCAGUGGCGAAGGCGGCUACCUGGAUUGACACUGACACUGAGGCGCGAGAGCGUGGGGAGCAAACAGG
RNAcentral lists this ribosomal RNA (429 nucleotides) under uncultured bacterium. Its description in RNAcentral is "bacterial SSU rRNA". It matches the Rfam family "Bacterial small subunit ribosomal RNA", at positions 355 to 776 of the family's 1533-position model. The record is from RNAcentral.